This 393-nucleotide ribosomal RNA is filed under the name uncultured bacterium. RNAcentral's name for it is "partial 16S ribosomal RNA". It matches the Rfam family "Bacterial small subunit ribosomal RNA", at positions 523 to 918 of the family's 1533-position model. The record is from RNAcentral.
AUACGGAAGGUCCGGGCGUUAUCCGGAUUUAUUGGGUUUAAAGGGAGCGCAGGCGGAGAUGCAAGCGUGACGUCAAAUUUCGGGGCUCAACCCCGUCUCGCGUCGCGAACUGCGUCCCUUGGUUGCGGGAAGGGGAGGCGGAACUCGUGGUGUAGCGGUGAAAUGCAUAGAUAUCACGAAGAACUCCGAUCGCGAAGGCAGCCUUCCGGCCCGUCAACGACGCUCAUGCUCGAAGGUGCGGGUAUCAAACAGGAUUAGAUACCCUGGUAGUCCGCACAGUAAACGAUGGACACCCGCGGUUUGGCCUGUAUGGCUGAGCCGCCAAGCGAAAGCGUUAAGUGUCCCACCUGGGGAGUACGCCGGCAACGGUGAAACACAAAUGAAUUGGCGGGG